This 189-nucleotide ribosomal RNA is filed under the name Escherichia coli. RNAcentral describes it as "partial 16S ribosomal RNA". It matches the Rfam family "Bacterial small subunit ribosomal RNA", at positions 1357 to 1533 of the family's 1533-position model. RNAcentral also lists the same sequence under 1 other name. The record is from RNAcentral. Lineage: Bacteria; Pseudomonadati; Pseudomonadota; Gammaproteobacteria; Enterobacterales; Enterobacteriaceae.
CCACGGUGAAUACGUUCCCGGGCCUUGUACACACCGCCCGUCACACCAUGGGAGUGGGUUGCAAAAGAAGUAGGUAGCUUAACCUUCGGGAGGGCGCUUACCACUUUGUGAUUCAUGACUGGGGUGAAGUCGUAACAAGGUAACCGUAGGGGAACCUGCGGUUGGAUCACCUCCUUACCUUAAAGAAGC